Molecule: long non-coding RNA, 587 nt
Organism: Cyanistes caeruleus (blue tit)
Lineage: Eukaryota; Metazoa; Chordata; Aves; Passeriformes; Paridae
Source: RefSeq, a predicted model, not a curated record
ACUAAAAUCACAUCACAUGAUUUACACUAGCAGGCUCUUGCUGUAAAGUUAUAGCAGGGAGCUAACUGCAAAGACUUUGCUGAUGCAAAGACACACCAUCAAAGAUUAAACUAUGCAGCUCAAGAAAUGCAGAAUCCCUGUUUGCAUAGUAUUUUUGUCCUUAGAAUAAUUUUCUUUUGGAUGGGCUGUGUAGGAUAUCUGGCUCUGUCUGACAGGAGGCUCAGCUGAACACACCAGCCCUAUCACGCAGAGGUGCUGAACCGAGGGCUGAAGGUUCCAGGAUUUGCACUUCAAACUGAAGAUCAGCUCCCAAGCUCUGUAAAAAUGAGAAGCAGAAACCCUGGCUGAAGUCAGCAUUGUCAGAGUUUUAUAAAUCCUGCUGCAGAGCUCCAGCUGGGCUACACUCCAAGAGCAUUUAUUUGGAUAAUAACCAAAAUAAAAUAAAAAUUAAACUCUCCCUGCAACCCGUUCUAUUCCUCACUGUUCUUGCAGACUUAUUUUAAAAGACCUUGAGACCUAAAGAAGCGCUGUUUGCUCAGAAAAGUAAAAGUUGGAGACUGGUAGCAAUAAAAUAGUUUUUGAAUUUG